GAUGAAGAACGCAGCGAAAUGCGUUAAGUAAUGUGAAUUGCAGAAUUCAGUGAAUCAUCGAAUCUUUGAACGCACAUUGCGCCCGCCAGCACUCUGGCGGGCAUGCCUGUUCGAGCGUCAUUUCAACCAUCAAGCCCCCAGGGGCUUGUGCUGGGGCCCUGCGGCUGCCCGCAGGCCCUGAAAACCAGUGGCGGGCUCGCUAGUCACACCGAGCGCAGUAGCACAUCUCGCUCAGGGCGUGCGGCGGGCUCCUGCCGUGAAACCCCCCACUGUAACCCCAAAGGUUGACCUCGGAUCAGGUAGGAAUACCCGCUGAACUUAAGCAUAUCAAUAAGCGGAGGA
This 342-nucleotide unclassified non-coding RNA is filed under the name soil metagenome. Its description in RNAcentral is "partial contains 5.8S ribosomal RNA, internal transcribed spacer 2, and large subunit ribosomal RNA". The stretch from base 1 to 120 matches the Rfam family "5.8S ribosomal RNA", at positions 35 to 154 of the family's 154-position model. The record is from RNAcentral.